CACGUAGGCGGCUCGGCAAAUCAGUCGUGGAAUCCCGACGCUUACCGUCGGAACGGCGGCUGAAAAUACCGGGCUUGAGGGCGUGAGGGGUCACUGGAACUCCAGGUGAAGCGGUGAAAUGCGUAGAUAUCUGGAGGAACGCCGGAGGCGAAAGCGAGUGACUGGCGCGUUCCUGACGCUGAGGUGCGAAAGCUAGGGGAGCAAACA
RNAcentral lists this ribosomal RNA (207 nucleotides) under uncultured bacterium. RNAcentral's name for it is "partial 16S ribosomal RNA". It matches the Rfam family "Bacterial small subunit ribosomal RNA", at positions 568 to 774 of the family's 1533-position model. The record is from RNAcentral.